CCUACGGGUGGCAGCAGUGGGGAAUAUUGCACAAUGGGGGAAACCCUGAUGCAGCGACGCCGCGUGAGUGAAGAAGUAAUUCGUUAUGUAAAGCUCUAUCAGCAGGGAAGAAAAUGACGGUACCUGAGUAAGAAGCCCCGGCUAACUACGUGCCACCAGCCGCGGUAAUACGUAGGGGGCAAGCGUUCUCCGGAUUGACUGGGUGGAAAGGGGGCGCAGACGGCAAUGCAAGCCAGGAGUGAAAGACCGGGGCCCAACCCCGGGACUGCCCUUGGAACUGCAUGGCUGGAGUACAGGAGGGGCAGGCGGAAGUCCUAGUGUAGCGGUGAAAUGCGGAGAUAUUAGGAGGAACACCGGUGGCGAAGGCGGCCUGCUGGACUGUGACUGACGUUGAGGCCCGAAGGCGUGGGGAGCAAACAGGAUUAGAUACCCGGGUAGUC
RNAcentral lists this ribosomal RNA (440 nucleotides) under uncultured bacterium. RNAcentral's name for it is "partial 16S ribosomal RNA". It matches the Rfam family "Bacterial small subunit ribosomal RNA", at positions 338 to 795 of the family's 1533-position model. The record is from RNAcentral.